GCCGCAGUGUUGAAAUUGGUAGACAAGCACGGCUUAGGACCGUGUGUCGAAAGACAUGGAGGUUCGAGUCCUCUCUGCGGCAC
This 83-nucleotide transfer RNA is filed under the name bioreactor metagenome. RNAcentral describes it as "tRNA-Leu". It matches the Rfam family "tRNA". Rfam says of the family: Transfer RNA (tRNA) molecules are approximately 80 nucleotides in length. The record is from RNAcentral.